UGAGGGAUAUUGGUCAAUGGGCGCAAGCCUGAACCAGCGACGCCGCGUGGGUGAAGAAGGUCUUCGGAUCGUAAAGCCCUUUUCCCACUGAAGAGGAAGGACGGUAGGUGGGGAAGAAGUCUCGGCUAACUACGUGCCAGCAGCCGCGGUAAAACGUAGGAGACAAGCGUUAUCCGGAGUUACUGGGCGUAAAGGGCGUGCAGGUGGCGUCUUAAGUCUGUUGUGAAAGCGCCUGGCUUAACCGGGCGAGGCCAAUGGAGACUGAGAGGCUGGAGGACGGCGGAGGGGUGUGGAAUUCCGGGUGUAGUGGUGAAAUGCGUAGAUAUCAAGAGGAACACCUGAGGCGAAGGCGGGUUGCUGGGCCGACACUGACGCUGAUGCGCGAAAGCCAGGGGAGCAAACG
RNAcentral lists this ribosomal RNA (403 nucleotides) under uncultured bacterium. RNAcentral's name for it is "bacterial SSU rRNA". It matches the Rfam family "Bacterial small subunit ribosomal RNA", at positions 355 to 774 of the family's 1533-position model. The record is from RNAcentral.